Long non-coding RNA from Gossypium raimondii (Peruvian cotton), 954 nucleotides. RefSeq lists it as uncharacterized. The transcript is spliced from 4 exons. The record is from RefSeq and is a predicted model, not a curated record. NCBI's taxonomy places the organism in Eukaryota, Viridiplantae, Streptophyta, Magnoliopsida, Malvales, Malvaceae.
UUUACUUAUUUGGUUUCUCCCUUUUCGUUCCACUCUCUCUAUUUUCUCAAAUUUUCUAUUUUCUUCCUCCUUGUGCCACCUCAUUAACCUAUUUUUAUCACCAUUGUUGUGCCCUCUCUCCUCCUCCAUUAGUGGCGUCAUUUUUCAUUGUUUCCCUCCGCUCUUUCACCCUUUGUUCAUUAUUUUUACUACUCUUCUUUGCCGCCCCAUUGCUGCCAUUUUUCUUGCGUUGCCACUUCUUUAGGCCCUAUUUUCUCAUCUUAUUUCAUUAUAUUUACUGCUAAUUUUUGCACUCCCUUUGGUUGAACCCCCCUUAGCCAUUGCUGGUGGUUUUCCGAUUCUAUGAUCGACAUACAUCACAGAUCUAUUAAUUGGGUGAAGUGACCAAAUUCAAACGUCUCAGAUCAUCUAUAACAUCAUAGGGUGUUCUGCAUCUCUUGUUUAACCAAAAUAGACUUAUCUGUAAUAUACUGACAAUUCAACUAUAUACUGUUACUGGUGGUUUAUCCACAACGAGCUUCGACUCUUACUAUUUCUGGUGUUCGGAUGAUGGGUUCAAGGGAACUCGUGGUGUGUAGCGAAUGGAUGGGUGCAUACAAGUGUGGGAAGCAAGAUCAAGGACUAACGGGAGAAAAACCAAGCAAAAAUGCAGAGAGUCGAAAGAGGAUGUGUGGGGCACAACUCAAAGCCCCAGCGCCCAAGCUUGGAUUGCACAACCCUUAGCAUGCGAACACAUGUGCUCUAUCACCCUGCCUUAAGCCCCAACGUUGUGCCCUGUUAAUUGCUUAGAUUACUUGCCUUGUUAAUUAAAAUAGUUAAAUCCAUAAAUGUUUUAUCGAUUCUAAUACUAGUGACGAAUAGCAUGGUUGUGUAUGUCAAAGUAUGCAAUUAAUGUUGUGUGGGUAUGCAAUCUAAUCUAAAUAAACUCCGCUAGUGUGCAUUUAUUGGUAAGAA